Molecule: long non-coding RNA, 2239 nt
Organism: Triticum aestivum (bread wheat)
Lineage: Eukaryota; Viridiplantae; Streptophyta; Magnoliopsida; Poales; Poaceae
Exons: 4
Source: RefSeq, a predicted model, not a curated record
AUCGCGGCGACGGACGUCCAAGCGACAUUCGGUAGGCCCACCACAUCCACUUAACCCAGCCCAUCGUCGGUGUGGUCCUCAUUCGAUCCCCAAUUCGCUCCAACAAACCCUGCCGCACGCUGCAUCUCAAUCGACCCCCAAAUCGAACCAAGACACCCUAGCUGAUAAAGAUGGCAGAUGCAGUUGCUGAUCCGGUCGCCCUGCUAAUCGUGCCUUGCCCGGAUUGCGGCAGGAACGUCGUGACCUAUGUAGCUCGUCACUGCCAGAACGGCGUCGAGCGUUUCUACAAGUGCCGCAGUCACAUCCCAGCACGUGGUGGAUGCGACUUCUAUAGGUGUCCGCAAGCUUACACCGAGUCGCUUGCUGCUGCAGCAACUCCGUUGGCGCAAAUCAUGCUUGGACAGGAGCAAGCUGCCCAAGCGUUAGGAGUUGAAGUUCCGGGCCAGCAGAACGGACCGCCGGAGGGCACGCAGUCCACAUCUUCUGCCAGCGCCGUCGCAGGAUACAUGGUUGCCGCAUCUGUUUGUACGUGAGCAAGAACUGGAAGACACAUGGCUAACAGAGCCCCCGCUCGAACCAGGUGCAGGCAUCUCUGCUCGCACACGCCUUGAUGUUUUUGGCUUAUCGUCCUCAUUCUUCUGGCUCAUAUGGUCCACACGGCCACAAUGCCCCGGACGUCCGCCGGCGGCGACCGGCCAUGGCUUCGCCGGAGUCCACCUCUGGCGAUGGAAGCUAAGACCGGCUUCCGCUUCCAAUCGCUCUCUCUGCCGAGCAGGAGGACGCCCGCAUCUGACCUGUCCGUCCCUGGAGUAAGCUCCGAACCCUCCUCCGUCCCUGGUGGCUGGAGGUAGAUGCUAGUUUUUGAGGUCGGCGAAGGUUGGAUUGUUGUACACUCUACAGACAGAAUGGAUCCAUUCAGUUCUGUUUCUGAAUGUGUUUUUUCCUAACUUCCUAUGCUUUUUGAGGAGAUAAUAACAGACCAAAGGUAAUGUAAGUUGCAGAGGUCUAUGCUUAUUAGCAGGGAUGCGAUUUUGCAGAGGAAAUUCGACUCCCCAUCUUUGUCUUGGAUGGCAAUUGCAGUCGAGUAGAACUCGCUCUGUCUUAUCUGAAACAAACACACACACACCUCUUAUCAGGGAAAUAACCAUAUAAAUUAUGUCAGGGCUCUGAGUGAAAUCAGGUUAUAUUAAUUUAGGUGCAACGGCGGCUCUGCAAGUUUGCAUUCGGUAAAUAUGCUCUCUGAAAUUUACACAUAUGCAUGGUGAAUCAUGUAAGAAUAGGAAACCAAGUCUGCACUGGGUUUGGCAGCUUCUGGUGUUGGUCGAUGCAAUCAACAAUGGACACUGCUGGAAGGAAACCAAGAACAGGAAGUUUGUCUCUGCCUGCUCGAAUGAGCAAGCUAAGGGCUGCAAAUGUCCACAAGGCUUCAAGGGUGACGGCGUACACGGCUGCAAAGGUAUCGCUAGUACAAACAUUGAUCUGCAACCUUGUGGGCAAUAUUGUUCCAUGUUUGCAUGUGCUUAUGUACUCCCUCAAUACAAACAUUGUUUCUUGGAGUAUAUUUUAGCAUCAUUUGUGUUUCAUAAUUGGUUCAAGACUGAUAUCUGUGGAUGGGGCAAUGAUAGAAAUUCACCAUAUGUGUAAACUAGCACCGACAAACCUGGAACAAUGGCGGAAGUACUGAACUGUUCGAGCUUCUUAAUUCAGAUUACCUACAAGAGGCAGUCUGAGGAAGGAACAAUGAUUGGAGUCACAGUAACAGCAGAGGCGAUGGUGGGGAAGGAUCGAUUCCGCCACUCAGGUGGCGAUUCCACCAGCACUGCUACUAGCUCGAUCCACGGAGUGGCGAUUCUGCCACUCAGGUGGCCGGCGGCUGCGGCGGGCAGUGGAACUGGAAGAUUAAUCGCGUAGGUAGGUGGCGGCGCAGAUGGGCGCCAAAAUCGCGCUAGUGGGCGGCGGCUACCCCCGGAGAUGCGCGGGCGACGGACGGGGACCUAUUUCAAACAGUUUUGGAAGUAAGAGUUCUUUUUUUGCUAAAAUGCCAGUACACUAGGUGCGCAACAAUCUUUUUUCGACGGAUGGGGUAUUAAUAUUAUCUUGUGAAAAUUUGAUCUGAAUUCCCUGUGCUUUGUGUAACACAGACUAAGAUCUUCUUUUGCCUUCCGCACAUGCCACUUGCACGUGAGUGGUGUCUGGCAUCACUUUCUCUAUUGCUAUCUCCAUUGAUCUGCAUAUACAU